This 403-nucleotide ribosomal RNA is filed under the name uncultured bacterium. RNAcentral describes it as "partial 16S ribosomal RNA". It matches the Rfam family "Bacterial small subunit ribosomal RNA", at positions 28 to 526 of the family's 1533-position model. The record is from RNAcentral.
GACGAACGCUGGCGGCGUGCCUAAUACAUGCAAGUCGAACGCAGUGGGGACGGGUGAGUAACACGUGGGUAACCUCCCAUCAGAGGGGAUAACACUUGGCAACAGGUGCUAAACCGAUACUGCUGGAUGAACCCGCGGUGCAUUAGCUAGUUGGUGAGGUAACGGGUCACCAAGGCCACGAUGCAUAGACGACCUGGAAGGAUAAUAGGCAACACUGGGAGUGGGACACGGGGCAGACGACUACAGGCGGCUGCAGUGGGGAAUCUUCGGGAAUGGACGAAAGUAUGACCGAGCAACGCCGCGUGAGGGAAGAAGGUUUUCGGAUCGUAAAACUGUGUUGUUAGAGAGGCGGUAUCUAACCAGAAAGCCACGGCUAACUCCGUGCCAGCAGCCGCGGUAAUUC